UACGUAGGGUGCGAGCGUUAAUCGGAAUUACUGGGCGUAAAGCGUGCGCAGGCGGUUCGUUAUGUCCGAUGUGAAAGCCCCGAGCUCAACUUGGGAAUGGCAUUGGAAACUGGCGGGCUGGAGUGUGGCAGAGGGGGGUGGGAUUCCACGUGUAGCAGUGAAAUGCGUAGAGAUGUGGAGGAACACCGAUGGCGAAGGCAGCCCCCUGGGCCAACACUGACGCUCAGGCACGAAAGCGUGGGGAGCAAACAGG
RNAcentral lists this ribosomal RNA (253 nucleotides) under uncultured bacterium. RNAcentral's name for it is "partial 16S ribosomal RNA". It matches the Rfam family "Bacterial small subunit ribosomal RNA", at positions 524 to 776 of the family's 1533-position model. The record is from RNAcentral.